This 29-nucleotide non-coding RNA is filed under the name Homo sapiens (human). The record is from RNAcentral. Lineage: Eukaryota; Metazoa; Chordata; Mammalia; Primates; Hominidae.
UCCUCAGAACAGCAGAACAGCAGCAGUGC